AGAAUGAACCGGCGAGUUACGAUUUGAUGCAAGGUUAAGCAGUAAAUGUGGAGCCGUAGCGAAAGCGAGUCUGAAUAGGGCGUUUAGUAUUUGGUCGUAGACCCGAAACCAGGUGAUCUACCCUUGGUCAGGUUGAAGUUCAGGUAACACUGAAUGGAGGACCGAACCGACUUACGUUGAAAAGUGAGCGGAUGAACUGAGGGUAGCGGAGAAAUUCCAAUCGAACCUGGAGAUAGCUGGUUCUCUCCGAAAUAGCUUUAGGGCUAGCCUCAAGUGAUGAUUAUUGGAGGUAGAGCACUGUUUGGACGAGGGGCCCCUCUCGGGUUACCGAAUUCAGACAAACUCCGAAUGCCAAUUAAUUUAACUUGGGAGUCAGAACAUGGGUGAUAAGGUCCGUGUUCGAAAGGGAAACAGCCCAGACCACCAGCUAAGGUCCCAAAAUAUAUGUUAAGUGGAAAAGGAUGUGGCGUUGCCCAGACAACUAGGAUGUUGGCUUAGAAGCAGCCAUCAUUUAAAGAGUGCGUAAUAGCUCACUAGUCGAGUGACACUGCGCCGAAAAUGUACCGGGGCUAAACAUAUUACCGAAGCUGUGGAUUGUCCUUUGGACAAUGGUAGGAGAGCGUUCUAAGGGCGUUGAAGCAUGAUCGUAAGGACAUGUGGAGCGCUUAGAAGUGAGAAUGCCGGUGUGAGUAGCGAAAGACGGGUGAGAAUCCCGUCCACCGAUUGACUAAGGUUUCCAGAGGAAGGCUCGUCCGCUCUGGGUUAGUCGGGUCCUAAGCUGAGGCCGACAGGCGUAGGCGAUGGAUAACAGGUUGAUAUUCCUGUACCACCUAUAAUCGUUUUAAUCGAUGGGGGGACGCAGUAGGAUAGGCGAAGCGUGCGAUUGGAUUGCACGUCUAAGCAGUAAGGCUGAGUAUUAGGCAAAUCCGGUACUCGUUAAGGCUGAGCUGUGAUGGGGAGAAGACAUUGUGUCUUCGAGUCGUUGAUUUCACACUGCCGAGAAAAGCCUCUAGAUAGAAAAUAGGUGCCCGUACCGCAAACCGACACAGGUAGUCAAGAUGAGAAUUCUAAGGUGAGCGAGCGAACUCUCGUUAAGGAACUCGGCAAAAUGACCCCGUAACUUCGGGAGAAGGGGUGCUCUUUAGGGUUAACGCCCAGAAGAGCCGCAGUGAAUAGGCCCAAGCGACUGUUUAUCAAAAACACAGGUCUCUGCUAAACCGUAAGGUGAUGUAUAGGGGCUGACGCCUGCCCGGUGCUGGAAGGUUAAGAGGAGUGGUUAGCUUCUGCGAAGCUACGAAUCGAAGCCCCAGUAAACGGCGGCCGUAACUAUAACGGUCCUAAGGUAGCGAAAUUCCUUGUCGGGUAAGUUCCGACCCGCACGAAAGGCGUAACGAUUUGGGCACUGUCUCAACGAGAGACUCGGUGAAAUCAUAGUACCUGUGAAGAUGCAGGUUACCCGCGACAGGACGGAAAGACCCCGUGGAGCUUUACUGUAGCCUGAUAUUGAAAUUCGGCACAGCUUGUACAGGAUAGGUAGGAGCCUUUGAAACGUGAGCGCUAGCUUACGUGGAGGCGCUGGUGGGAUACUACCCUAGCUGUGUUGGCUUUCUAACCCGCACCACUUAUCGUGGUGGGAGACAGUGUCAGGCGGGCAGUUUGACUGGGGCGGUCGCCUCCUAAAAGGUAACGGAGGCGCUCAAAGGUUCCCUCAGAAUGGUUGGAAAUCAUUCAUAGAGUGUAAAGGCAUAAGGGAGCUUGACUGCGAGACCUACAAGUCGAGCAGGGUCGAAAGACGGACUUAGUGAUCCGGUGGUUCCGCAUGGAAGGGCCAUCGCUCAACGGAUAAAAGCUACCCCGGGGAUAACAGGCUUAUCUCCCCCAAGAGUUCACAUCGACGGGGAGGUUUGGCACCUCGAUGUCGGCUCAUCGCAUCCUGGGGCUGUAGUCGGUCCCAAGGGUUGGGCUGUUCGCCCAUUAAAGCGGUACGCGAGCUGGGUUCAGAACGUCGUGAGACAGUUCGGUCCCUAUCCGUCGUGGGCGUAGGAAAUUUGAGAGGAGCUGUCCUUAGUACGAGAGGACCGGGAUGGACAUACCUCUGGUGUACCAGUUGUCGUGCCAACGGCAUAGCUGGGUAGCUAUGUGUGGACGGGAUAAGUGCUGAAAGCAUCUAAGCAUGAAGCCCCCCUCAAGAUGAGAUUUCCCAACUUCGGUUAUAAGAUCCCUCAAAGAUGAUGAGGUUAAUAGGUUCGAGGUGGAAGCAUGGUGACAUGUGGAGCUGACGAAUACUAAUCGAUCGAAGACUUAAUCAAAAUAAAUGUUUUGCGAAGCAAAAUCACUUUUACUUACUAUCUAGUUUUGAAUGUAUAAUUUACAUUCAUAUGUCUGGUGACUAUAGCAAGGAGGUCACACCUGUUCCCAUGCCGAACACAGAAGUUAAGCUCCUUAGCGUCGAUGGUAGUCGAACUUACGUUCCGCUAGAGUAGAACGUUGCCAGGCAAAAAGUGGAUGCGAUGAGCCGCAUUGAGACCGCAAGGUCUCUUUUUUUAUGUCUAAAACGUCAAAAUAAAAGCAAACACAAAGAAAGAUGGCUUGGCGAAGUGAAAACGUUUGAAUCUGACGAAACGAGAAAUGUAAAGUAUAAUAAAAAGCAGUCAUAAGAUGAUUUCAAUUAGAAAUCAAUUUAUGACUGUUUUUCUUACUAUGUGUUAAAUUAACAAUGAAUAUAACAUCUUAUUUUCAUUAAUAUAAAUAUUGGAAGGAUCGAAAUGAUUUACACGUUGUUUGAGUUGUAUUAAAUCAUCAUGAUCUUUAAGUUGAAUACCAAUAAUGACAGUACCUGUAUUUUGAGAAGAUUUUUUUAAGUAUUCAAAUUUAGUAAUAUCGUCUUGAGGUCCUAAUACGUCAUUUACAAAUUCUCUCAAUGCA
RNAcentral lists this ribosomal RNA (2925 nucleotides) under Staphylococcus aureus. Lineage: Bacteria; Bacillati; Bacillota; Bacilli; Caryophanales; Staphylococcaceae. The record is from RNAcentral.